Molecule: transfer RNA, 73 nt
Filed under: Faecalibacillus faecis
Lineage: Bacteria; Bacillati; Bacillota; Erysipelotrichia; Erysipelotrichales; Coprobacillaceae
Rfam family: tRNA
About the family: Transfer RNA (tRNA) molecules are approximately 80 nucleotides in length.
Source: Rfam by way of RNAcentral
GCGGACGUGGCGAAGUGGUUAACGCACCGGAUUGUGGCUCCGGCAUUCGUGAGUUCGAUUCUCAUCGUCCGCC